GACGAACGCUUGCGGCGUGCCUAAGAAAUGCAAGUCGAACGGGGGCUUCGGCCCUAGUGGCGAACGGUCGCGUAACACGUGGGCAACCUGCCCUGAAGCGGGGGACAACAGACCGAAAGGUCUGCUAAUACCGCAUGUGGUCUUUUUCGGCAUCGAGGAAGACUAAAGACUUCGGUCACUUCAGGAUGGGCCCGCGGCCUAUCAGCUUGUUGGUGGGGUAACGGCCUACCAAGGCUACGACGGGUAGCUGGUCUGAGAGGACGGCCAGCCGGAUUGGGACUGAGAUACGGCCCAGACUCCUACGGGGGGCAGCAAUUAGGAAUCUUGCGCAAUGGGGGCAACCCUGACGCAGCGACGCCGCGUGAAGGAUGAAAUCCUUCGGGAUGUAAACUUCUUUUAUUGGGGAAGAAGAAUGUGACGGUACCCAAUGAAUAAGCCCCGGCUAACUACGUGCCAGCAGCCGCA
RNAcentral lists this ribosomal RNA (465 nucleotides) under uncultured bacterium. RNAcentral's name for it is "bacterial SSU rRNA". It matches the Rfam family "Bacterial small subunit ribosomal RNA", at positions 28 to 519 of the family's 1533-position model. The record is from RNAcentral.